Molecule: ribosomal RNA, 345 nt
Filed under: Hemidactylus persicus
Lineage: Eukaryota; Metazoa; Chordata; Lepidosauria; Squamata; Gekkonidae
Description: partial 12S ribosomal RNA
Rfam family: Bacterial small subunit ribosomal RNA
Source: RNAcentral
AGAGUACUACAAGCGAAAAGCUUAAAACUCAAAGGACUUGACGGCAUUCCAACCACACUAGAGGAGCCUGUCCUAUAAUCGAUAACCCACGCUUUACCUCACCUAUGCUUGCACAAACCAGCCUAUAUACCGCCGUCUGCAGCCCGCCUUACAAAAGCACACACAGCGCGCAAACCAGUCAACACUAAAACGUCAGGUCAAGGUGUAGCUUACGCAUAGGAAGAGAUGGGCUACAUUUUCUAACAAUAGAAAACUACCACCACCACCAUGAAACACGUGCUCAAAGGAGGAUUUAGCAGUAAGCCACGCAAGAUUUGCCUGACUGAACACCGCUCUGGAAUGCGU